AUCGAAAGUCCGUAAACCCACGAUGUUUUGUAAGGCAACGAUGUUUUUCGAAAAAUUCGAUGAACUGUAUGCUGUACAUUAGUGUGAAAGAGAAAACAUGAUUUGUAUUUUCAUCGAUGUUUCGCUGAGCAGGCUAUCUCGCUCUAUCACGAUUGCGAAAAUUCGGGAGAACUGUCAAACCGAAAAUUCUCGCGUCGUUUGCGUGUUGGUUUGGUCGGCAAGAAAAAGUUUUCCACGAUUUUUCCCGUCAAAUUCAGUAUUUAAUAAAAAAAAGUACGAUUCAAAUUUGAUGGGAAUUGAUUUCAUUUGCCGACUGGACGAAUUUCUCAGUUUUGUUCCGGAUUGUUGAUCGGUGGACACGAGUUGCCGGAAGUAUGCGGGUCUGUAAAACAUGGUGCACUUUGAACUCAGGAGCGAGCAGUUUUGGACAAUCAGCCGGCCGCCAAACCGCCAAUCUUGGAAAGCGGAAACAAUAUCAUGUGGCCACGGAAUCACCGGUCAGCAAAUCCAUCCACCGGAACUUCCUAGUUCUCAUCAACAGCUCGGGCCGGGCAUCAUGGAUCACGGCGAGAACUAAAAGAACUUUAAUAAUUGGAAGUCAGGUGGACAGAUAUAUUGAAUCUGGUGCUUGGAGGUUUUUAAUCGAGUUUUCAAUUGUAAAUAGUGCGGUUCCACAGUAGGAUGACACCAGCUUGUUGGAGCAAUUGGAGACGGAACCGGAUGUCGGCUUUACAAGAUUGAGUAAACCGAGACUUAAAAGGAAAAGAUUGUCUGAAGGAGCUCGAACCGGAUUCAAAGAACCCCUCCAAUCGGACCAAGUGACAGCAAAUGCCGCAUCAUCAACGCCGGAGGCAGCGGAACCGUUACCGCCGAAAAAUAGGCCUGUUCCUGAGCAAUUCACGAGUUCAACUUGAUCCGCAAGUUUCCGGAUGUGCAUGAUGGUGUCCAGCGUCUGCAGAAUCUGCUCUAUCUGUACAACUGUAAUGAGACGAAACUGAUCGCUGGCGAAAUUUGACGAAUCCGUCGAGAUGAUAUCAAGCAAGGCGGCGGUGGCCAAUACCAGUCAGUCGGUGACCAGAAUCGCACAUAAGCUUCAUAACAUUCGUCGAGCUGACCUCCCCCGAGUCCGAACUUCAGUGCAUACCCACGAACGCCAUUUCCUGCAUCGGCCGAGAAUCUGCAAGUUGGGAAAAAAAGAAGCAGCAACAAUAGCAGCCGGGUCGGUGAGCCGGUCAAAUCGCCGGAAGGUGGUCUGGUGUCAAGCCUACGAGAAAGUUAUUAUAGUACUUCUAGUUUGGACGCUGAUAAUAGCAUAUCCUUGAUCGCAAAAGUCAGCACCUCAAGCGGCAAAGCAGCUCGCACCUGCACAAGUUUACCAUUGUCUACCAUAGUUGCACCACCUCACAUCGUUGGUGGCUGGAAAAAGUAACGGAUUGCGAAUCAGCCGUGGCGGUCCGGCAGGAAUCGUCAUGUUUUAAACGAAUAGUCCAGCAAGUUCCCUCGGAAUGACGCUGGUCGGAACAAGCUCGCCGGACGGUCCCCAACUUUGGUACGCCGCUGAACGGAAUAGGUUCUUGCAAUCCAGAACUACCACCAGAGCGGCCAUGGUUCUAGAUUAAGUUCGCCGGAUGGUCGCCAACUUGCAAUUACCUUCGGAACGUCGAUUUAAAAGCUGCACGGACGCCAAAAGCCAAGAUCAAAUGAAUCCCGUAAACGAUCCUGGCCGAUAGCUUUUUAAAUUUUGGUAACACGGUUUACCGGGCGAUCGCCAACCUGGAAGUUCCCGCGGAACAAGGCUGGACGGACAUGGCCCUAGAAAUACAUAUCACGAAAUAGGCACGACGCCUAGAAGCUCCGUUUCCGUCGCAUUUCCUCUCGCUCAUGCCACCUCAUGUAUUGUGGCAACUUCUGGAUCGCCACCGCCUCCUUCGGACGGUCCACCUUCAUCGGAAAAGAUAAACGACGACCGGGACAAUCGUGGAAUGUGGUAAAUAUCGUGACUCGUACGGAGGAGGUGGCGGUCGUGGACCUCGAAGACAAAUGCAACCUCCAAGGUUGGCCACCCGGCAACAGCGAGACCAGCACAAGGAUCACGCCGAUCACCAACGUAAUUCGUCGUCGGCGGCGGCUCCGUUGAUGGAGAUUGUCGUUUAACAGCCCACCAUCCACCUUAGACAACAGCCACCUCCCUCGCAAUAGAAUGGCCACGUCGGCGUCGGAGGUCGUGGACUGGACGCCGAGGCCAAGGAACGUCUAAUGUAGCGUCGCGAGGAUGACCAGCGAAGGGCUAUGGAAAACAAGCAAGCCGCGGCCAGGAAGCUGAAGAGUAAGAAGGGUGAAGACGGAGGACCGGGGUCUUCACCAGCAAUGAUACGGCAAGUGUCAACCGGUGGGUGUCGAUCGGGACGUUCGUGACCCCGGUAACAUGGUCCCACGAGAGAUCAUGAAGCGUCGCAUUGACUCUGAGGAGGACGAAGGCUUAAGCAGCGGUAACCAGAGUCGUCAAGAUGGGCGGCGGCAGUGGCCGUACAACGCCGCAGUUGAAUCGAAGCGUUUCGAGCGAUAACAAUUAACUAUCGCCAGCACGACCAUCAGCUGCAGCAGAUCAUUAUUGAAUCUUGGGAGAGUGAAGCGGAAAAAGGAUCGUCGACUAGCGGAGGCAGCCGCUGCGUUGGCCAAGGAAAACCAGAUGCAGCAGUUCCAGUCAAGUUCCAGUCGCAACACGAUUCGCGUUGAAUUUCGGAAUUGUCGGCGCUUUCGGAGAGCAGAUUCUUGGGCGGAUCAAGGAAACUUCGGACAAGCUGGAGUCAUAAAAAGUGGUGGAGGCCAGCGAAACUUAGCAACCUUGGGAGGCCUUGGGAAGAAUCGGUAGAAGCUUCGGAGAAAGCGAGCUAGUCACUUAACGUGUGCGCAACCUCAUUGGACACAUGACGACAAAAAGGAUGCUUCCGGAUCGGAUGCUGGUAAAAACGACACUGGUGGUGUGUCUGCGGACCGUUCAGGUGCACUCGAUUGAGCUCAUGAACAAGGAUUCCAAAUGGCGGCACGAACAACGAUUCCAAAGCCCGGAAGAAUCUCCGGAAUCUAGUCCCUCGAAGUGCUUGCCGGAAAUGCACCGACCAUGAACUGACCCGGUUAUGGCCCUGCAACUAUCCUCGAAACACGACGGGUGGCCUAUUGCUUUUCAAAAUUUCGGUUCAUCCGGAAUCCGGAAAUGCCACACGGAACUGCAACAGACCACAAGGUUCCCUCGGAAAUGAACAGGCUGCAGGAACUGCAAUACUUGGCACUGUUGAAGUUGCAGGUUGCCAAUCGGAACGCGCAUGGCAACAAUUGGACGACUCCGAACCUGGAUCCUGACGGAAGCCGCCACUUGACCCGUGCAUGCGAUUACAAUCGUCUGGCCCGAUAUCGUCCGGAACUGGUACGAGGGACGGCCAUGGCAUUGCCAGCGAUCUUGGAACUACAACGCCUGGAACAGGCCUGAAGACAGCCCACAAGUGCCUUCGGAGCGACGAGUUGGACGCUCGUCAAGGAGCAGAGCAAAUAGAACGUUCCAGGCAUUCGUCCUCCUCUCAAGCGCAUUCCGGAACUGCCACGCCGGAAGGCCACGUCCCUGCAGAUGUAUUCUGUACGACGCACCACGGAUCAGGAUCGAUGGACUGCUGUCGCGAUGCAAGUGCCCUUGGAACGGCCGCUGGAACGCGUCCAACUCCAAUUAAACCGGAGCCAGUUCCCCUCGUCCAGAGCAUUCCUUUGAACACCGUUUGUGCCGGGAAAUCGUGCCUAAGUUAGUGAUGCGGAGCAGCUAAACUAAUUGUAGCAAAAUAAACGAAUUAAAACCUGAAAACAAUUGUUUCAAUCAAAACAAACCCAAUGACAGAUGACAGAAAAAGAAGAAGAAGAGCGCAAAAAAGGGGUUGAUGCGCGUCCGAUUUUUCACGCUUACGUCGUUCUUACAUCGGCCACGCACGUAGGCCUUCCGCGAUGUUCGAACAACCUUGACAGGUUGACGUUUCGGGUGCAAAACACCUUGAUUCGGGUCUGAUGCGUGUCUCAAAAUCAGACACGCAUCGG
Culex pipiens pallens (northern house mosquito) is the source of this 4077-nucleotide long non-coding RNA. RefSeq lists it as uncharacterized. The transcript has 7 exons. The record is from RefSeq and is a predicted model, not a curated record. NCBI's taxonomy places the organism in Eukaryota, Metazoa, Arthropoda, Insecta, Diptera, Culicidae.